This 253-nucleotide ribosomal RNA is filed under the name uncultured bacterium. RNAcentral describes it as "partial 16S ribosomal RNA". It matches the Rfam family "Bacterial small subunit ribosomal RNA", at positions 526 to 779 of the family's 1533-position model. The record is from RNAcentral.
CGUAGGUCCCGGCGUUAUCCGGAUUAUUGGGCGUAAAGCGAGCGCAGGCGGUUAGAUAAGUCUGAAGUUAAAGGCUGUGGCUUAACCAUAGUACGCUUUGGAAACUGUUUAACUUGAGUGCAAGAGGGGAGAGUGGAAUUUCCAUGUGUAGCGGUGAAAUGCGUAGAUAUAUGGAGGAACACCGGUGGCGAAAAGCGGCUCUCUGGCUUGUAACUGACGCUGAGGCUCGAAAAGCGUGGGAGCAAACAGGAUU